Long non-coding RNA from Larimichthys crocea (large yellow croaker), 2711 nucleotides. RefSeq lists it as uncharacterized. The transcript has 2 exons. The record is from RefSeq and is a predicted model, not a curated record. Lineage: Eukaryota; Metazoa; Chordata; Actinopteri; Sciaenidae.
GUUCUCAAACGCUGCACGCUCGAAAUUCCUCCAAGGAACCUCUGCGAGCUUUUCUUUUUUCAUCACGCGCGGGCUAAAAAUAGAAACGGGGUUGGAUCGUGAUCCAGAAAUAGAUAGGGGACAUCACUCCUAUAAAAGGCACACCAUUCAAGAGUACAGUGUGUGCACAGUUUGAAGAAGCGAAAAAAGCCAGAGCAUAUUUUUGUAAUGGAGAAAGCUCUCUGUGUUUUUUUUUUCUUUCCUUUUUGUUCUUUUUUUUUCAUCCAUAUUUUUGUGGCACUUUUGAAAAAAAAAAAGGGAAUCCGUGUCCGCUGCUACAACGGUUCCUCUAUUACGUCACACAAGCUAUGCUGGGACACAGCAGCAGCAGCAGCAGCAGCAGCAGUGACCAAACCACAGCGAGGUCAGCAGGUGGAAUCCAAAGAGCGAGUGGGGGAAAAACUGUAAGAGAAGUAAACAGUGGUUCGUCAUCACAUUCAUGCUCAGGCUGCAUGGACGUAACACUGCCUUUAUUUUACGUCUUGUGCUUCACCCUGAGAUUCUGUUGUGUCUAAAGAUUUCUUCUUCUUCUUCUUCUUGGAAUCGCUUUUUGUCCACACAACCUUUUCUUCUUUUAAAUGUGAUUCAACUUACUAGGCUGUAUUAUCUGCAUUUUUUCAAAUAGAGGGGCAACUUAUUCACAAUAGUUACCAGCCACAUGAGAGAUUUCACAUGUUUUUAUUCCGGCUUAGCACUAAAACGACGAGAACGCGUCACAACAUGGUGUUGUGUUAUCUAUCAGAUGCUGGAAUCGAGGCCACAUUGCCGUGUGAAGAUCAGUUUUGGGGUCAGGAUCUCCACACAGUUGUAAAGUCUUCAGAUUAUUUCAUUAUUUUUAUUAUUAGCACUAGCAUUUUUAUUGUUAAUAUAGAUGAAAAGACUUGAAUAUCUUUCAGAAAACCAGCCUCGAUCAAUUUGAUGCUUAUUUUCACCUGUAGCAUCUCCAAAGUGAAGCUUUUCCUGUUUUUUUCCCCUAAAGCGACAUGAAUCACUGACCUCUUUAAAUCGCCACUGUGAAAUGUUUUUUAAUGAGAGUCACUUUAGGGGUCCCAAAGCAUUCUGGGUCCUGGGGGUCUUACACCAUGCCUGUGAGCAAGCAGUGAAGUCCUCCGGUGCAGCAGCUCACAUAGUAGGGAGCUCCUGGUUUGGGUGAUUAAGGAUGUGUUUAAGUCUCCUCCUCCCUGAAAUUUCUCCUCCAGGCCAGGCUUUUUUUUAAAAUAGGCUCACCUGCUUAAAGGAGACAUGAUAGCAAUUACAGUAAAGUCAGAAUAACACACACACACACACACACACACCGGUCAGAAGACAGUUUCUGUUUUUAUGAGGUGUGAGGACGAUAACAUGGCAGAAAUAGUAAACAGAUGAAGUGAUGUCUACAGUGACGGACAACCAGAUUAAAAAAAGCCUUUGACCAAAAUGAUUUCUAUUUCAGAGAAAUUAAAAGAAAUUCAUUUACAGAGCUUUGAUCCGAGGAGUUAAGAUGCUGGUGUGUGUGUGUCUUCUUCUUGUUACGCGAUCAUAUUGUGAUUUGGGGUUUUAAAUGAGUGCAUUUUAAUUUCAUUUCUAUAGUCUGUGAUGUGCUGUACGUGUUUGUAACUGGACACACACUUUACAGGAAAUUCAACAAAGACACAGCGCUCUGAAAUAAUGUUUCUACAUAUAUUAGGACGUGCCAUCUUCUAGUUUUUCUUUGACUUCGUCCUUUAGGUUAUUUAUUUUCUCCUGUGUGAUGUAUUGAAAUCUUAAUUUGAAGGCACAAAGAGAAAGUUGUGUAUCAUUUGCGUCCGUUUUACGUUUUUCAGAUGUGUUUGUGCGUGUGUUCUUUACAAGUAUUCAUAAGUAACAGCCUGAAAUUAAUUAACAUGUGCAUGUGUGUGUGUGUGUGUGUGUGUCAUCCACGUCCAAACUUAGAACAUUUACACUAUACGUAGCUGUUCUAUGUUUAAUUUCUAUGAUUCAUUUGUUGAAAUCUUACAGAGACACUGAUGCAUAAAUAUCACCAAGUAUCUUUAAACUACAUUCACGUGUUCUGCAUUUGUAUCCAGCAGAAGUGUUUGAAAUAAGACCAGUUGAGUUUUCAGUUUUCAGACGUACGCUGAGCAGCCAGACUCUUAACACUGAUUAAAUAUAAACCUGUAACACAUGUUCAACUAUCUUGAACUAAAAAGAAAUCUGAUCAAAUUCUCCAAAAGUAUUCAAAAUGUAGAACUUCUUUGAGUACACCAUUGAGCUUUUUUCCCCCCUCAAUUUAACAGAUGACAAAAAGAGAGACAAGACACAGAGAGCGAGUUGAGUCAAUGUGCGUCUUUGUUAGUGUUUUCUGAUACGUGUGUGUGUGUGUGUGUGUGUUACCUUUUACCGUACACUUCCAAUCUUGUGCUUUCUUCUCUCCUUGUUUGUUAAAAUUAAUUGAACCAAAUUUGAUAUUUGAUCUCAUCCUGUCUCAUUCUGUCGUGUCUUUUUACUUUUCUUCUUUGUCCUAACGUGCCACAAUGAUGACGGACUGAAUGAAAAAUCUUCCAAGAUUCAUUGAAUGUUUCAAUGAUGAUUUCUUCUGAUUAUGAAUGUUAUUUUCUAAUUUAAGUGUACACCGUUAACUCUGUGUUUUGUUUCAGAAGGUACCAUGGUUCGAUGUUGCUUUUUACCUUUUAUACAGGAGCUUAAUAAUAAAA